GAUGAACGCUGGCGGCGUGCCUAAUACAUGCAAGUCGAGCGAACGGACGAGAAGCUUGCUUCUCUGAUGUUAGCGGCGGACGGGUGAGUAACACGUGGAUAACCUACCUAUAAGACUGGGAUAACUUCGGGAAACCGGAGCUAAUACCGGAUAAUAUUUUGAACCGCAUGGUUCAAAAGUGAAAGACGGUCUUGCUGUCACUUAUAGAUGGAUCCGCGCUGCAUUAGCUAGUUGGUAAGGUAACGGCUUACCAAGGCAACGAUGCAUAGCCGACCUGAGAGGGUGAUCGGCCACACUGGAACUGAGACACGGUCCAGACUCCUACGGGAGGCAGCAGUAGGGAAUCUUCCGCAAUGGGCGAAAGCCUGACGGAGCAACGCCGCGUGAGUGAUGAAGGUCUUCGGAUCGUAAAACUCUGUUAUUAGGGAAGAACAUAUAUGUAAGUAACUGUGCACAUCUUGACGGUACCUAAUCAGAAAGCCACGGCUAACUACGUGCCAGCAGCCGCGGUAAUACGUAGGUGGCAAGCGUUAUCCGGAAUUAUUGGGCGUAAAGCGCGCGUAGGCGGUUUUUUAAGUCUGAUGUGAAAGCCCACGGCUCAACCGUGGAGGGUCAUUGGAAACUGGAAAACUUGAGUGCAGAAGAGGAAAGUGGAAUUCCAUGUGUAGCGGUGAAAUGCGCAGAGAUAUGGAGGAACACCAGUGGCGAAGGCGACUUUCUGGUCUGUAACUGACGCUGAUGUGCGAAAGCGUGGGGAUCAAACAGGAUUAGAUACCCUGGUAGUCCACGCCGUAAACGAUGAGUGCUAAGUGUUAGGGGGUUUCCGCCCCUUAGUGCUGCAGCUAACGCAUUAAGCACUCCGCCUGGGGAGUACGACCGCAAGGUUGAAACUCAAAGGAAUUGACGGGGACCCGCACAAGCGGUGGAGCAUGUGGUUUAAUUCGAAGCAACGCGAAGAACCUUACCAAAUCUUGACAUCCUUUGACAACUCUAGAGAUAGAGCUUUCCCCUUCGGGGGACAAAGUGACAGGUGGUGCAUGGUUGUCGUCAGCUCGUGUCGUGAGAUGUUGGGUUAAGUCCCGCAACGAGCGCAACCCUUAAGCUUAGUUGCCAUCAUUAAGUUGGGCACUCUAGGUUGACUGCCGGUGACAAACCGGAGGAAGGUGGGGAUGACGUCAAAUCAUCAUGCCCCUUAUGAUUUGGGCUACACACGUGCUACAAUGGACAAUACAAAGGGCAGCGAAACCGCGAGGUCAAGCAAAUCCCAUAAAGUUGUUCUCAGUUCGGAUUGUAGUCUGCAACUCGACUACAUGAAGCUGGAAUCGCUAGUAAUCGUAGAUCAGCAUGCUACGGUGAAUACGUUCCCGGGUCU
This 1372-nucleotide ribosomal RNA is filed under the name uncultured bacterium. RNAcentral's name for it is "bacterial SSU rRNA". It matches the Rfam family "Bacterial small subunit ribosomal RNA", at positions 28 to 1381 of the family's 1533-position model. The record is from RNAcentral.